This 465-nucleotide ribosomal RNA is filed under the name Vreelandella stevensii. Its description in RNAcentral is "partial 16S ribosomal RNA". It matches the Rfam family "Bacterial small subunit ribosomal RNA", at positions 338 to 795 of the family's 1533-position model. Lineage: Bacteria; Pseudomonadati; Pseudomonadota; Gammaproteobacteria; Oceanospirillales; Halomonadaceae. The record is from RNAcentral.
CCUACGGGCGGCUGCAGUGGGGAAUAUUGGACAAUGGGGGCAACCCUGAUCCAGCUAUGCCGCGUGUGUGAAGAAGGCCCUCGGGUUGUAAAGCACUUUCAGUGAGGAAGAACGCCUGGUGGUUAAUACCCAUCAGGAAAGACAUCACUCACAGAAGAAGCACCGGCUAACUCCGUGCCAGCAGCCGCGGUAAUACGGAGGGUGCGAGCGUUAAUCGGAAUUACUGGGCGUAAAGCGCGCGUAGGUGGCUUGAUAAGCCGGUUGUGAAAGCCCCGGGCUCAACCUGGGAACGGCAUCCGGAACUGUCAAGCUAGAGUGCAGGAGAGGAAGGUAGAAUUCCCGGUGUAGCGGUGAAAUGCGUAGAGAUCAGGAGGAAUACCAGUGGCGAAGGCGGCCUUCUGGACUGACACUGACACUGAGGUGCGAAAGCGUGGGUAGCAAACAGGAUUAGAUACCCCAGUAGUC